RNAcentral lists this ribosomal RNA (484 nucleotides) under uncultured bacterium. RNAcentral describes it as "partial 16S ribosomal RNA". It matches the Rfam family "Bacterial small subunit ribosomal RNA", at positions 30 to 507 of the family's 1533-position model. The record is from RNAcentral.
AUUGAACGCUAGCGGGAUGCUUUACACAUGCAAGUCGAACGGCAGCGCGGACUUCGGUCUGGCGGCGAGUGGCGAACGGGUGAGUAAUGUAUCGGAACGUGCCCAGUAGCGGGGGAUAACUACGCGAAAGCGUAGCUAAUACCGCAUACGCCCUACGGGGGAAAGCAGGGGAUCGUAAGACCUUGCACUAUUGGAGCGGCCGAUAUCGGAUUAGCUAGUUGGUGAGGUAACGGCUCACCAAGGCGACGAUCCGUAGCUGGUUUGAGAGGACGACCAGCCACACUGGGACUGAGACACGGCCCAGACUCCUACGGGAGGCAGCAGUGGGGAAUUUUGGACAAUGGGGGCAACCCUGAUCCAGCCAUCCCGCGUGUGCGAUGAGGGCCUUCGGGUUGUAAAGCACUUUUGGCAGGAAAGAAACGUCGCGGGCUAAUACCCCGUGGAACUGACGGUACCUGCAGAAUAAGCACCGGCUAACUACGUG